This 253-nucleotide ribosomal RNA is filed under the name uncultured bacterium. Its description in RNAcentral is "partial 16S ribosomal RNA". It matches the Rfam family "Bacterial small subunit ribosomal RNA", at positions 524 to 776 of the family's 1533-position model. The record is from RNAcentral.
UACGGAGGGGGCUAGCGUUGAUCGGAAUUACUGGGCGUAAAGCGCACGUAGGCGGAAAUGUAAGUUGGAUGUGAAAUUCCGGAGCUCAACUCCGGAGUUGCAUUCAAGACUGCAAGUCUGGAGGUCAGGAAAGGCGAGCGGAAUUCCGAGUGUAGAGGUGAAAUUCGUAGAUAUGUGGAGGAACACCAGUGGUGAAGGCGGAUCGCGGGACUGAUGAUGACGAUGAGGUGCGAAAGCUUGGGGAGCAAACAGG